GGCCCCGUAGUUCAAUGGAUAGAAUAGAAGUUUCCUAAACUUUAGAUGCAAGUUCGAUUCUUGCCGGGGUCA
This 72-nucleotide transfer RNA is filed under the name Zobellia uliginosa. RNAcentral describes it as "tRNA-Arg". It matches the Rfam family "tRNA". Rfam says of the family: Transfer RNA (tRNA) molecules are approximately 80 nucleotides in length. The record is from RNAcentral. RNAcentral also lists the same sequence under 9 other names. Lineage: Bacteria; Pseudomonadati; Bacteroidota; Flavobacteriia; Flavobacteriales; Flavobacteriaceae.